GAGAAGGAGAAGAGGAGAAAAACUUACAGUCUGCUAUCCUUAACUUUCCUCCGUAUUCUUUUCCAACCUUUCACACAAUUGGGCCCAGGGUGAUACGAGCUGUGCCGAUUCUGUUUAGAAAGGAAGAGGCAGGGGAACAAAAACAAAUGUCUGGCUUCAGCGAGGCUGUGAGUGGGAGCCUCACUGGUACUGUUGAUAAUUUCAGCUUUCUUUUGAGGUAUUCCAAUCCCGGCAAAGCUGCAGGCUUUUUAUUUUCAUGGCAACCGACAACAGGGUAUUCACUUAGAAUUGAUAAAUGAGGAAGAUUAACAACGUGAGACGAGCAGAGGAGAGAAUGGACUCUGCGGAGCGAGUGAGGCUGCCGUUGUCAGCCUCCUGGUGGCGGAGGAUCAGCGGCGCGCUGUGUGUUCCUCUUCCUGCUCGUUAACAUGCACAACCUGCGAGGCGGGUCUCCAGAGGACGACCCCGAGCCGGCUUCUAUCAUUAAUCAACUUCAAGCAAACACAGCGACCAGACACCACCAUACAUGCUUUAAACUCCAGAAUUAAUGCAUAUUUUCAAGCAAGUGUCAAUAAGGGAAGAAAAGCGCUGGCAGGAAAGGCGUGCGGGGAGAGCAGCUCCGGCGCACUCGGCACAACACCGUGAUAAGAAACAGAGCCCUUAUGAGAAUAAUAACGCUGUCACUUGUAAACAAGGCAAAAACAUGAGCGCCCGCCCCUCCAGCUCACAGCCUGGGCAAAAGAGCCACUAAAGAGAUGAGAUCUGCCAAAUUUCUCAUUACAGAAACAGAGCAGGAAGAAAGCACAGGGGGAGAGGAGGCCUGGCUGUGGCAGAGAGAGAGGGAAAAAAAAACAUUAUGAGCAGCUGCAGGGGACUUGCCGCUCUAACCUGCGGUGCCAGGCUGCUGUAGCGGAGGUAGAGCGAUGUCAGGAUGAGGCGCCGGGCUCAUUUACUACAACAACAAGGGACAACUGGCACAUUCUUCAUCACCACGGCCCACAUUUGAUUUAUUCACACCAGGACGUCUUGUGUGAUUUGCAGCUAUUGUGAUGGAAGCACUCAUAUGCUAAUGAGCUGACAUAUUUUGGUGUAAAUUAUAAAAAAGGGGGGAAAAGUAAAGUCAGCUUUUCUAUCAUUUUCACAUCAAAGUAACUCCACAAGUGCUGUUGCCUCAGGUCUGACUCCGUGGCUGCGGGGCAGACAUGAAAUUGUUAUUAUUAUGCUAUUGAACUGCAUGCUGAUUCCACACUUUGCUUAUAAUUAGCCUUCUCUGGAUGCCUCACUCUCAUCUGGCUGUUUAAGAGAAGUGCUCUGGUUUCUUCACUGUGUUAAAAAAGCUGUGUCCUGUCAACCAGCAGCUCCCUGGCACAUGUGGACAGCACAUGUUACUACACAGCGGUGAUGGACUCGCAUUCGGACAGGGUAAGUCAGACCAGUACAGACAACCUGAAUAAACUGAAUUAACCGCAGCAUUAAAUGCUCCAUCCACAGACGUAAAGAGCCAGGUGUGUUUUGUUAAUAAGAGAAUAAAGUUCUUUAAAAGCAAAAGAACACAGUUUUAACUCGUUUUGUACUUGCACAAAGCUUAUAGACAUAAUUACGAAGAAGGAGUCGUGAGCUUUAUCAGCCUAAAGAUAGAAGCGGAGGGGUAGAGGGAGAGCAGGCUGCCUUUAGGCCAGCACACCCAUCCUGUCUCUGCCUUUCCUGUUCCACAGCCAUGCUCAGAGCUAUGUUCACAGUGAUUAAGGAUGGCACUUUCCUCCAUUUGGCCAGGAGCUUAUUACUGCACCUUUUUUUUGUUUUUAGGCAGAAUUUCCCCCAAGCUCAGACAUUUCAGGAGGCCAUCCCUGAGUCUACCCCUGCUGCACAUCGGUGGUCUGCCCCCACAUCUGGAAACGAUGCAGCGUGUGCUGUAUUAUUUUAGGCUUCAAACAACUUAGCAGACACUCCCAUACAACAAGUGAACGGGGAGCUGUGGUUUCCAGGCCGACCACAACUUUCCUACAUGAGAAUCUUGGAUGAUGUCCUCCAGACUAAUUACGCUUUUUGUGUUGUUUUUCUUUCAGAGGCGUUUCUAGAUGUGUUGCGGCUCAUGUUGCACCGUGUCGGAGCCAGCAGCUGUGUCACUCUGCGUGCUGGCAUUUUGUAAAUAUUUUAACAAAGUGAAAGGGCCGAUGAUGGCGGGGCUCAGACAGACAGCAGGACGCAUAAAGGAGAGUUCAUAAACUCGCUGUUAAAAUAACAGAGGGGCUCCGGUCUUCUCUUCCCGGCCGCUCUGGUGAUGGAAGCUUUGAAAAGACUGCGGUGAAGAUAGAAAGCGCGUGUGCCACUCACAUAGCUGGCAGGGGCGAGCGUCCCGGGCUGCUGUCACUGCCGUUGCUGUUUCCAUGGUCCAUCGCUCCAUUCAUCUCCUCACGGAUGGCGUUGGCCAGGGAAUUGAGGGUGGGACUUCCAAUGGAAGCAGUAGUGUAUAGA
Molecule: long non-coding RNA, 2475 nt
Organism: Oreochromis niloticus (Nile tilapia)
Lineage: Eukaryota; Metazoa; Chordata; Actinopteri; Cichliformes; Cichlidae
Exons: 2
Source: RefSeq, a predicted model, not a curated record